UACGUAGGGGGCAAGCGUUAUCCGGAUUUACUGGGUGUAAAGGGGGCGCAGACGGCAGCGCAAGCCAGGAGUGAGAGCCCGGGGCCCAACCCCGGGACUGCUCUUGGAACUGCGCGGCUGGAGUGCAGGAGGGGCAGGCGGAAUUCCUGGUGUAGCGGUGAAAUGCGUAGAUAUCAGGAGGAACACCGGUGGCGAAGGCGGCCUGCUGGACUGCGACUGACGUUGAGGCCCGAAAGCGUGGGGAGCAAACAGG
RNAcentral lists this ribosomal RNA (253 nucleotides) under uncultured bacterium. RNAcentral describes it as "partial 16S ribosomal RNA". It matches the Rfam family "Bacterial small subunit ribosomal RNA", at positions 524 to 776 of the family's 1533-position model. The record is from RNAcentral.